CGGUGUUCAACUGGCGUGUCCGCGGGACGUCCUGCCGGUGGGCUUAGCCCGCAAGGGCGGCCCAACUUCAAAUCCCAUCGCGGUGCUCUUCACUGAGUGUCGAGGUGGGCCGGCACGUUUACUUUGAACAAAUUAGAGUGCUUAAAGCAGGCUAAAACUUCGCCUGAAUACUGUGUGCAUGGAAUAAUGGAAUAGGACCUCGGUUCUAUUUUGUUGGUUUUCGGAACCCCGAGGUAAUGAUUAAUAGGAACGGAUGGGGGCAUUCAUAUUGCGACGUUAGAGGUGAAAUUCUUGGAUCGUCGCAAGACGGACAGAAGCGAAAGCAUUUGCCAAAAACGCUUUCAUUGAUCAAGAACGAAAGUUAGAGGUUCGAAGGCGAUCAGAUACCGCCCUAGUUCUAACCAUAAACGAUGCCAGCUAGCGAUCCGUCGACGUUCCUCCGAUGACUCGACGGGCAGCUUCCGGGAAACCAAAGCUUUUGGGUUCCGGGGGAAGUAUGGUUGCAAAGCUGAAACUUAAAGGAAUUGACGGAAGGGCACCACCAGGAGUGGAGCCUGCGGCUUAAUUUGACUCAACACGGGAAACCUCACCAGGCCCGGACACCGGAAGGAUUGACAGAUUGAGAGCUCUUUCUUGAUUCGGUGGGUGGUGGUGCAUGGCCGUUCUUAGUUGGUGGAGCGAUUUGUCUGGUUAAUUCCGAUAACGAACGAGACUCUAGCCUGCUAACUAGGCGUAUUUUCGACAUCUCAAAGGUCCGUCGUCCCGGCCCUCGGGUCGUGGGCGUGCGCGAUUUUUACUGUCGGCGUACUAUCAAUUCUUCUUAGAGGGACAGGUGGCUUCUAGCCGCACGAGAUUGAGCAAUAACAGGUCUGUGAUG
RNAcentral lists this ribosomal RNA (877 nucleotides) under uncultured eukaryote. Its description in RNAcentral is "SSU rRNA". It matches the Rfam family "Eukaryotic small subunit ribosomal RNA", at positions 636 to 1469 of the family's 1831-position model. The record is from RNAcentral.